AAAACAUGUCUUUUUGAUAAAAAUUUAAAGUCAGGUCUGCUCACUGAAUUAUUUAAAGAGCCGCAGUAUAUUGACUGUGCAAAGGUAGCAUAAUCAAUAGUUUUUUAAUUGGAAACUAGAAUGAAAGAUUAGACGAAAAAUUAAUUUUCUUUGUUUUAAUAAAUUUAAUUUUAAAUUUAAGUGAAAAUGCUUAAAUAUAAUUAAAAGACGAGAAGACCCUAUAGAUUUUUAUUAUUGAAAUGAAUUUUUAAAUUUAAUUUAGUAAAAUAAUUUAAUUGGGGCGAUUUUAUAAUAUAGAUAACUUAAUUUUUUAAAACCAUAAAUAAUUGAAUAUUUGAUCUAAAAUUUUUAAAGAAAAGAUUAAAUUACCUUAGGGAUAACAGCGUAAUUUUAUUUAAGAGUUCAUAUCUAUAAUAAAGUUUGCGACCUCGAUGUUGAAUUAAGAUAAUAUAUUGGAGUAGAAAUUAAUAUAAUUAGUCUGUU
RNAcentral lists this ribosomal RNA (483 nucleotides) under Ptycta hardyi. RNAcentral describes it as "partial 16S ribosomal RNA". The record is from RNAcentral. Lineage: Eukaryota; Metazoa; Arthropoda; Insecta; Psocodea; Psocidae.